RNAcentral lists this ribosomal RNA (2930 nucleotides) under Escherichia coli. RNAcentral describes it as "bacterial LSU rRNA". It matches the Rfam family "Bacterial large subunit ribosomal RNA". Lineage: Bacteria; Pseudomonadati; Pseudomonadota; Gammaproteobacteria; Enterobacterales; Enterobacteriaceae. The record is from RNAcentral.
GGGUUGUGAGGUUAAGCGACUAAGCGUACACGGUGGAUGCCCUGGCAGUCAGAGGCGAUGAAGGACGUGCUAAUCUGCGAUAAGCGUCGGUAAGGUGAUAUGAACCGUUAUAACCGGCGAUUUCCGAAUGGGGAAACCCAGUGUGAUUCGUCACACUAUCAUUAACUGAAUCCAUAGGUUAAUGAGGCGAACCGGGGGAACUGAAACAUCUAAGUACCCCGAGGAAAAGAAAUCAACCGAGAUUCCCCCAGUAGCGGCGAGCGAACGGGGAGCAGCCCAGAGCCUGAAUCAGUGUGUGUGUUAGUGGAAGCGUCUGGAAAGGCGCGCGAUACAGGGUGACAGCCCCGUACACAAAAAUGCACAUGCUGUGAGCUCGAUGAGUAGGGCGGGACACGUGGUAUCCUGUCUGAAUAUGGGGGGACCAUCCUCCAAGGCUAAAUACUCCUGACUGACCGAUAGUGAACCAGUACCGUGAGGGAAAGGCGAAAAGAACCCCGGCGAGGGGAGUGAAAAAGAACCUGAAACCGUGUACGUACAAGCAGUGGGAGCACGCUUAGGCGUGUGACUGCGUACCUUUUGUAUAAUGGGUCAGCGACUUAUAUUCUGUAGCAAGGUUAACCGAAUAGGGGAGCCGAAGGGAAACCGAGUCUUAACUGGGCGUUAAGUUGCAGGGUAUAGACCCGAAACCCGGUGAUCUAGCCAUGGGCAGGUUGAAGGUUGGGUAACACUAACUGGAGGACCGAACCGACUAAUGUUGAAAAAUUAGCGGAUGACUUGUGGCUGGGGGUGAAAGGCCAAUCAAACCGGGAGAUAGCUGGUUCUCCCCGAAAGCUAUUUAGGUAGCGCCUCGUGAAUUCAUCUCCGGGGGUAGAGCACUGUUUCGGCAAGGGGGUCAUCCCGACUUACCAACCCGAUGCAAACUGCGAAUACCGGAGAAUGUUAUCACGGGAGACACACGGCGGGUGCUAACGUCCGUCGUGAAGAGGGAAACAACCCAGACCGCCAGCUAAGGUCCCAAAGUCAUGGUUAAGUGGGAAACGAUGUGGGAAGGCCCAGACAGCCAGGAUGUUGGCUUAGAAGCAGCCAUCAUUUAAAGAAAGCGUAAUAGCUCACUGGUCGAGUCGGCCUGCGCGGAAGAUGUAACGGGGCUAAACCAUGCACCGAAGCUGCGGCAGCGACGCUUAUGCGUUGUUGGGUAGGGGAGCGUUCUGUAAGCCUGCGAAGGUGUGCUGUGAGGCAUGCUGGAGGUAUCAGAAGUGCGAAUGCUGACAUAAGUAACGAUAAAGCGGGUGAAAAGCCCGCUCGCCGGAAGACCAAGGGUUCCUGUCCAACGUUAAUCGGGGCAGGGUGAGUCGACCCCUAAGGCGAGGCCGAAAGGCGUAGUCGAUGGGAAACAGGUUAAUAUUCCUGUACUUGGUGUUACUGCGAAGGGGGGACGGAGAAGGCUAUGUUGGCCGGGCGACGGUUGUCCCGGUUUAAGCGUGUAGGCUGGUUUUCCAGGCAAAUCCGGAAAAUCAAGGCUGAGGCGUGAUGACGAGGCACUACGGUGCUGAAGCAACAAAUGCCCUGCUUCCAGGAAAAGCCUCUAAGCAUCAGGUAACAUCAAAUCGUACCCCAAACCGACACAGGUGGUCAGGUAGAGAAUACCAAGGCGCUUGAGAGAACUCGGGUGAAGGAACUAGGCAAAAUGGUGCCGUAACUUCGGGAGAAGGCACGCUGAUAUGUAGGUGAAGUCCCUCGCGGAUGGAGCUGAAAUCAGUCGAAGAUACCAGCUGGCUGCAACUGUUUAUUAAAAACACAGCACUGUGCAAACACGAAAGUGGACGUAUACGGUGUGACGCCUGCCCGGUGCCGGAAGGUUAAUUGAUGGGGUCAGCGCAAGCGAAGCUCUUGAUCGAAGCCCCGGUAAACGGCGGCCGUAACUAUAACGGUCCUAAGGUAGCGAAAUUCCUUGUCGGGUAAGUUCCGACCUGCACGAAUGGCGUAAUGAUGGCCAGGCUGUCUCCACCCGAGACUCAGUGAAAUUGAACUCGCUGUGAAGAUGCAGUGUACCCGCGGCAAGACGGAAAGACCCCGUGAACCUUUACUAUAGCUUGACACUGAACAUUGAGCCUUGAUGUGUAGGAUAGGUGGGAGGCUUGGAAGUGUGGACGCCAGUCUGCAUGGAGCCGACCUUGAAAUACCACCCUUUAAUGUUUGAUGUUCUAACGUUGACCCGUAAUCCGGGUUGCGGACAGUGUCUGGUGGGUAGUUUGACUGGGGCGGUCUCCUCCUAAAGAGUAACGGAGGAGCACGAAGGUUGGCUAAUCCUGGUCGGACAUCAGGAGGUUAGUGCAAUGGCAUAAGCCAGCUUGACUGCGAGCGUGACGGCGCGAGCAGGUGCGAAAGCAGGUCAUAGUGAUCCGGUGGUUCUGAAUGGAAGGGCCAUCGCUCAACGGAUAAAAGGUACUCCGGGGAUAACAGGCUGAUACCGCCCAAGAGUUCAUAUCGACGGCGGUGUUUGGCACCUCGAUGUCGGCUCAUCACAUCCUGGGGCUGAAGUAGGUCCCAAGGGUAUGGCUGUUCGCCAUUUAAAGUGGUACGCGAGCUGGGUUUAGAACGUCGUGAGACAGUUCGGUCCCUAUCUGCCGUGGGCGCUGGAGAACUGAGGGGGGCUGCUCCUAGUACGAGAGGACCGGAGUGGACGCAUCACUGGUGUUCGGGUUGUCAUGCCAAUGGCACUGCCCGGUAGCUAAAUGCGGAAGAGAUAAGUGCUGAAAGCAUCUAAGCACGAAACUUGCCCCGAGAUGAGUUCUCCCUGACUCCUUGAGAGUCCUGAAGGAACGUUGAAGACGACGACGUUGAUAGGCCGGGUGUGUAAGCGCAGCGAUGCGUUGAGCUAACCGGUACUAAUGAACCGUGAGGCUUAACCUUACAACGCCGAAGCUGUU